Molecule: ribosomal RNA, 460 nt
Filed under: uncultured bacterium
Lineage: Bacteria
Description: partial 16S ribosomal RNA
Rfam family: Bacterial small subunit ribosomal RNA
Source: RNAcentral
CCUACGGGUGGCAGCAGUGAGGAAUAUUGGUCAAUGGGCGCGAGCCUGAACCAGCCACGUCGCGUGAAGGAUGACUGCCCUACGGGUUGUAAACUUCUUUUAUAAAGGAAUUAAGUGAGGCACGUGUGCCUUUUUGUCUGUAUUUUAUGAUUAAGGAUCGGCUAACUCCGUGCCAGCAGCCGCGGUAAUACGGAGGAUCCGAGCGUUAUCCGGAUUUAUUGGGUUUAAAGGGAGCGUAGAUGGGUUGUUAAGUCAGUUGUGAAAGUUUGCGGCUCAACCGUAAAAUUGCAAUUGAAACUGGCAGCCUGGAGUACAGUUGAGGUAGGCGGAAUUCGUGGUGUAGCGGUGAAAUGCGUAGAUAUCACGAAGAACUCCGAUUGCGAAGGCAGCCUACUAAACUGCCACUGACAUUGAUGCUCGAAAGUGUGGGUAUCAAACAGGAGUAGAUACCCGAGUAGUC